Molecule: ribosomal RNA, 2918 nt
Filed under: Acinetobacter baumannii
Lineage: Bacteria; Pseudomonadati; Pseudomonadota; Gammaproteobacteria; Moraxellales; Moraxellaceae
Description: bacterial LSU rRNA
Rfam family: Bacterial large subunit ribosomal RNA
Source: RNAcentral
GUUGUAUAGUCAAGUAAUUAAGUGCAUGUGGUGGAUGCCUUGGCAGUCAGAGGCGAUGAAAGACGUGAUAGCCUGCGAAAAGCUCCGGGGAGGCGGCAAAUAUCCUUUGAUCCGGAGAUGUCUGAAUGGGGGAACCCACCUACUUUAAGGUAGGUAUUGCAACAUGAAUACAUAGUGUUGCAAGGCGAACGAGGGGAAGUGAAACAUCUCAGUACCCUUAGGAAAAGAAAUCAAUUGAGAUUCCCUCAGUAGCGGCGAGCGAACGGGGAUCAGCCCAUUAAGUUAUGUGUGUUUUAGUGGAACGCUCUGGGAAGUGCGAACGUAGAGGGUGAUAUUCCCGUACACGAAAGGGCACACAUAAUGAUGACGAGUAGGGCGAGGCACGUGAAACCUUGUCUGAAUAUGGGGGGACCAUCCUCCAAGGCUAAAUACUCCUGACUGACCGAUAGUGAACCAGUACCGUGAGGGAAAGGCGAAAAGAACCCCUGUGAGGGGAGUGAAAUAGAUCCUGAAACCGCAUGCAUACAAGCAGUGGGAGCACCUUCGUGGUGUGACUGCGUACCUUUUGUAUAAUGGGUCAGCGACUUAUAUUCAGUAGCGAGGUUAACCGUAUAGGGGAGCCGUAGAGAAAUCGAGUCUUAAUAGGGCGUUUAGUUGCUGGGUAUAGACCCGAAACCAGGCGAUCUAUCCAUGAGCAGGUUGAAGGUUGGGUAACACUAACUGGAGGACCGAACCCACUGUCGUUGAAAAGCCAGGGGAUGACUUGUGGAUAGGGGUGAAAGGCUAAUCAAGCCUGGUGAUAGCUGGUUCUCCCCGAAAGCUAUUUAGGUAGCGCCUCGGACGAAUACCAUAGGGGGUAGAGCACUGUUUCGGCUAGGGGGUCAUCCCGACUUACCAAACCGAUGCAAACUCCGAAUACCUAUGAGUACUAUCCGGGAGACAGACUGCGGGUGCUAACGUCCGUAGUCAAGAGGAAAACAAUCCAGACCGCCAGCUAAGGCCCCAAAAUCAUAGUUAAGUGGGAAACGAUGUGGGAAGGCAUAGACAGCUAGGAGGUUGGCUUAGAAGCAGCCACCCUUUAAAGAAAGCGUAAUAGCUCACUAGUCGAGUCGGCCUGCGCGGAAGAUGUAACGGGGCUAAAACUAUGUGCCGAAGCUGCGGAUGUAUACUUUGUAUACGUGGUAGGGGAGCGUUCUGUAAGCCGAUGAAGGUGUGUUGAGAAGCAUGCUGGAGGUAUCAGAAGUGCGAAUGCUGACGUGAGUAACGACAAAACGGGUGAAAAACCCGUUCGCCGAAAGACCAAGGGUUCCAGUCCAACGUUAAUCGGGGCUGGGUGAGUCGACCCCUAAGGCGAGGCCGAAAGGCGUAGUCGAUGGGAAAAUGGUUAAUAUUCCAUUACUUCUGUGUAAUGCGAUGAGAGGACGGAGAAGGCUAAAUCAGCCUGGCGUUGGUUGUCCAGGUGAAAGGAUGUAGGCAUGUAUCUUAGGCAAAUCCGGGGUACUCUAUGCUGAGAUCUGAUAGCAAGCUGUACUUGUACAGCGAAGUGGUUGAUGCCAUGCUUCCAGGAAAAGUCUCUAAGCUUCAGUUACACAGGAAUCGUACCCGAAACCGACACAGGUGGUCAGGUCGAGUAGACCAAGGCGCUUGAGAGAACUCUGCUGAAGGAACUAGGCAAAAUGGUACCGUAACUUCGGGAGAAGGUACGCUGUUGUUGGUGAUGGAACUCGCUUCCUGAGCUGACGACAGCCGCAGAAACCAGGCCGCUGCAACUGUUUAUUAAAAACAUAGCACUCUGCAAACACGAAAGUGGACGUAUAGGGUGUGAUGCCUGCCCGGUGCUGGAAGGUUAAUUGAUGGGGUUAGCGUAAGCGAAGCUCUUGAUCGAAGCCCCAGUAAACGGCGGCCGUAACUAUAACGGUCCUAAGGUAGCGAAAUUCCUUGUCGGGUAAGUUCCGACCUGCACGAAUGGCAUAAUGAUGGCGGCGCUGUCUCCAGCAGAGGCUCAGUGAAAUCGAAAUCGCUGUGAAGAUGCAGUGUACCCGCGGCUAGACGGAAAGACCCCGUGAACCUUUACUGCAGCUUGACACUGAACUUUGACCUUACUUGUGUAGGAUAGGUGGGAGGCUUUGAAGCUGGAACGCUAGUUCCAGUGGAGCCGUCCUUGAAAUACCACCCUGGUAAUGUUGAGGUUCUAACUCUGUCCCGUGAUCCGGGACGAGGACCGUGUCUGGUGGGUAGUUUGACUGGGGCGGUCUCCUCCUAAAGAGUAACGGAGGAGUACGAAGGUGCGCUCAGCGUGGUCGGAAAUCACGCGUAGAGUAUAAAGGCAAAAGCGCGCUUAACUGCGAGACCCACAAGUCGAGCAGGUACGAAAGUAGGUCUUAGUGAUCCGGUGGCUCUGUAUGGAAGGGCCAUCGCUCAACGGAUAAAAGGUACUCUGGGGAUAACAGGCUGAUACCGCCCAAGAGUUCAUAUCGACGGCGGUGUUUGGCACCUCGAUGUCGGCUCAUCUCAUCCUGGGGCUGAAGCAGGUCCCAAGGGUAUGGCUGUUCGCCAUUUAAAGAGGUACGCGAGCUGGGUUUAGAACGUCGUGAGACAGUUCGGUCCCUAUCUACCGUGGGCGCUGGAAAUUUGAGAGGAUCUGCUCCUAGUACGAGAGGACCAGAGUGGACGAACCUCUGGUGUACCGGUUGUGACGCCAGUCGCAUCGCCGGGUAGCUAUGUUCGGAAGGGAUAACCGCUGAAAGCAUCUAAGCGGGAAGCCUACCUCAAGAUAAGAUUUCCCUAGGACUUUAUGUCCUCUAAAGAGCCGUUCGAGACUAGGACGUUGAUAGGUUGGAUGUGGAAGCAUAGUGAUAUGUGAAGCUGACCAAUACUAAUUGCUCGUGAGGCUUGACUAUACAACACCCAAGCAGUUG